GACGAACGCUGGCGGCGUGCCUAACACAUGCAAGUCGAACGGGCCUUGUCCCCUUUUUUUUUGGGGGUGGGGUUAGUGGCGAACGGGUGAGUAACACGUGAGUAACCUGCCCCUCACUUCUGGAUAACCGCUUGAAAGGGUGGCUAAUACGGGGUGUUCUGGCCUGCUCGCAUGGGUGGGUUUGGAAAGAUUCGACCGGUUUUGGUUGUUUUGGUGGGGGAUGGGCUCGCGGCCUAUCAGCUUGUUGGUGGGGUGAUGGCCUGCCAAGGCUUUGACGGGUAGCCGGCCUGAGAGGGUGGGCGGUCACACUGGGACUGAGACACGGCCCAGACUCCUACGGGAGGCAGCAGUGGGGAAUAUUGCACAAUGGGCGCAAGCCUGAUGCAGCGACGCCGCGUGAGGGAUGGAGGCCUUCGGGUUGUGAACCUCUUUCGCCAGUGAAGAAGGUCCUGCUCUUUGUGGUGGGGUUGACGGUAGCUGGGUUAAUGAAGCGCCGGCUAACUACGUG
Molecule: ribosomal RNA, 508 nt
Filed under: uncultured bacterium
Lineage: Bacteria
Description: partial 16S ribosomal RNA
Rfam family: Bacterial small subunit ribosomal RNA
Source: RNAcentral